GUGAUUGACAAACAUGUUUAACGUGCCACAACAGCACACAUUCGCUUUACAUUAUAGGCAUAAUCAUGGCACAAGUAAGUUGCACAUUUUUCUUUUUGUAUAGUAAACAUGGCUGGCUAGUCUAAGUCAUGAGGUAUAGAAAUAAUAAUGGUAGAUACAUUAAGCUUAGCUGACUGACAGUGUGUUGAAUAAUUAUAAGAUUCAUCAGAUUAUACAAGCUUAGAUCCAGAAUUAUAUGCCCUGAGUAAGGAGAUUUCUUAUGCAUUUUCAAACAGACAAGCUCGCAGUGUUACGGUCACAAUUGUAAGCCUAGAGAGACAUGGUUUAUCAUACGCUUGACAUUAGUGUUAACUGCAUGUUUCCUAAGUCAGUGAAUGUCGUGAGGGAUGACAAGCAUAACAGUGUAGAUAGGAGAAGCAAAACAUAACAAAACCAACCAGAAAAUAAAAGAAAAAGAAGGCUCGUUAGAAAAAGAACAAUAAAACUUAUGAGCUGGAUGCUCGCUGAUUGUGGGUCAGGGUCCUGAUCUGUGUGUUGUUAGUGUCCCGUGAGGUUUUAGUUAGGCAUGGCCCCAGCUCUACGUGUCCUUAGAUAUUGGUGUUGCUAUGCUGCCUAGGACCAGCGCUGGUACGGUGGGGCGCUUGCUUCAGAGUGGGCUGCAGGGCAAAGCUGCUCACCGGGGACGGUAUCACCUCCACUAUUACUGGUGUGUCGAC
Molecule: non-coding RNA, 716 nt
Organism: Pelobates cultripes (western spadefoot toad)
Lineage: Eukaryota; Metazoa; Chordata; Amphibia; Anura; Pelobatidae
Source: the annotation of a GenBank genome assembly